Molecule: long non-coding RNA, 2498 nt
Organism: Tachysurus vachellii
Lineage: Eukaryota; Metazoa; Chordata; Actinopteri; Siluriformes; Bagridae
Exons: 3
Source: RefSeq, a predicted model, not a curated record
AGGCAAUCAACACACACAGCACCACUGUGUACAUGCAAUCCCAACACACGUACAACUACUCUAGCAGAACUCUGAACUUUGUACACAUGCAUGCUUAUAUAACUCAGUGUACAAACUCCACACACACACACCUUUGCAUAAUUAUUUUCAAUACAAUCCCAUUCAUGGCUAUGCAUGGGAAAUGGCGGCUAUUUGUUUGGUUUAUGUUGACAUACUUGCUUUGUGGCAUCUAAAAUACAUCAAGAUUAGGACCAGCAGGAGCAUGCAGGCUCACACACAUUGCUGACGUGCUAAACACCAAGCCAACAUGCUCCAAUGUGCUCUGGAGGACAGAAAGUGAGAACAGACACCACAAGCUGUGAGGUGCAGCCUGGAGCCUAGUGUGAAUGUAAGCAUUGCAUUAAAGUGUGUGUCAUGCAGUUUCACUCAUCUCUCAGCUGAGAUCCAAGUAUGUGAAAAAGUGUUAGUGUGGCUUCUGAGGUGAACGUGUGAAAGAAAGAGUGAGAGUGUGCAAGAAGAGGAGUUUGUUUUCACAUCUCCUAACCACCAGGGGCAGUGUUUAACACUUCUUGUGCAUAUGUACAUGCAUGCUGAAAUAUUCCCACAAUGUCACAUAAGUACAUGACAGUAUUUGCAAUAAAAACUGCUGUCAAAUAACAAAUAUUCAAUCUACAUGAGACUACAGAAUUGUAUGGAGCUUUCCAGUUUGUCCUGUUCAAAUCACAUUGGAUGUUCUUUCAACAGCUGCACAAACCCUAUACUCUACUAUGAUUGCUGCUACUAGCACUGCUACUCAUUCUACAUACUGUAUACUGUAUAUAUAUAAAACUAUAAGUAACUAUACAUGAGUUAUACAUAAUUAAACUGAGCACUCAAAGUGGGCUCGGACCAAUAUAAUGUGUGUAUGUGAAAAUGGUCUCAUUUCCCCUAAGAGGACCCACAAACAAGGUUUACUGCCUCAAAAGCUGGACUAAGUACGGUUCAUUUGUAGGUCCUUGUCCAGAUCCUGAUUCGAUUGGUCUGUGCAAUGUGAACACAAAGACACACUGGUCCACUUGGUUUUUCGUUAUAUCAGGAACACCUCCAGGCUUGCCUAAGUUCUUUCCACCACCUCAGUACCAGAAUAGAAAAGUCUUGCUGUAUAUCUACCUCUUAUCCUGAGGGAUGGUGGGACCAGUCAAGCUGUACUGGUAGAGCCGAGGAAGCAUGGUGCAGUGCAAGAUGUGACAGGAGCUUUGAGCUAAGAGGGUGCUGGUCCAUUUAGCUUUGUAGGCAAGCAUCAUUGUGCUAAAUAUGAUGCAUGCAGCUACCAGAAGCCAGUGAGGUGAGCGCAGCAGUGGGGCGGUAUGUGGGAACUUAGGGAGGUUGAAAAUAAGUCACUGCACUGCAUUUUGGAUCAUAUGCAGAGGACGGACUGCGUUCAUAGGUACACCUGCCAGCAUUCCAGUCUCAAAAUGACAAGAGACUGAGCAGUCUCCCAAAUUAUCUGAGCAGCCUGUAUAAAAAUGACCGAAUGCUUUUGAUUUUAUAGAGAAGAAACCAAAAUGAACAUUAUUAGCAACAUGUGAGAAAAAGGACAGUUGACUGUCAAUGGUUACCCCAAGGUACCAUGGCUACCCAUGGCUGAAGGGGAGAUCAGAUCAUUGUGUAUGGAUAUUGCUGCUGCUACUUACGUACAAGGCUCUUAACGGUUUAGCUCCCAUGUAUCUAGCCAGUCUUCUAACACGUUACAAUCCUUCACGCUCUCUGAGAUCACAAAAUUCUGGACUUCUGGUAGUUCCCAGAAUAUCUAAGUCCACUAAAGGCGGUAGAGCGUUUUCUUAUUUAGCUCCCAAACUUUGGAAUAGUCUUCCUGAUAGUGUUCGGGGCUCAGACACACUUUCCCAGUUUAAAUGUUGAUUAAAAACUCAUCUCUUUAGUCAGGCGUACACAUAACACAUCCCAUUAUACUGUGCACUAUUACACUAGACUUGCACAUUUUUAUGAACAGAAGAUAUGUUAAUCCCUCUACACUGCUCUUCUCUUUUUCUACCCAUGCCGAGACACCCAGAAAUUGUACCAGCUCCGAUCGUCUUCCGUGCGAUGAAGUUUUUGGACCUCCACUGAGAUGAGGCCGACUCUGUGAGAAUCCUGAGACAUCUACAGAUCUACCAGCUCCAGUUGGACUCUGUGAUACUAAGAGGAGAUCUGAAUAUCUAUAUUUGUAAUCACACCAUCUAGUGUCACCCAUAUGAGGAUGGGUUCCCCUUUGAGUCUGGUUCCUCUCAAGGUUUCUUCCUCUACAAAUCUAAUGGAGUUUUUUUCCUUGCCACUGCUGCCUGAGUCACCUCAGACUUGCUCAUUGUGGAUAAAUACAUAUACAUACAUACAUACAUACAUACACACCGUGAACUAUAUAUAUCUUGAAUUUUUAUUAUAUUAAUUCUUUAUACUACUCCUUAUGUUUAUCUUCUGUUCUAUGUUUAUGUUCUGUAAAGCUGCUUUGAGACAAUGUCCAU